Molecule: transfer RNA, 59 nt
Filed under: Ageratina adenophora
Lineage: Eukaryota; Viridiplantae; Streptophyta; Magnoliopsida; Asterales; Asteraceae
Description: tRNA-Val
Source: RNAcentral
AAGAACCCGACCCGGCCUUGACGUGGUGGAAGUCAUCAGUUCGAGCCUGAUUAUCCCUA